This 1221-nucleotide long non-coding RNA is filed under the name Coturnix japonica (Japanese quail). Its description in RNAcentral is "lncRNA (ENSCJPG00005000974.1)". Lineage: Eukaryota; Metazoa; Chordata; Aves; Galliformes; Phasianidae. The record is from RNAcentral.
GGGGUUGCGGGGAACGGGCCAUAGGAAUGGUAAUGAAUAGUAAAUCAAACUGAGGAGGAGACUAUUGAUUAUGUAUUAGCUUAACCUAUAUCUGUAACACACUUUUCUCCUUACGGUGUGCAAGUUUGGAGGAGCUAUCCCCUUGCACCCGGCGCUGCGCAACGCUGGAAUAAACAUACUGCUUUAUAACCUAACUCUGGGUUUCAGAGUUUGAUUCCACAAGUCAGUUUGGUGACCCAGAUGGGACCUGCUCUGUUCGGCUGCUGGACCAGCUGAGAGGGGGAACACUUUCGGCUCACCCCAAGAUUUCUCGGAAGGACUCCCCUCCCUCAUCUGAUCACUGCAGGAGCAGACAAGAACCAUCUAUCGGCGGACCAGGACUGCCAAGAAAGAAGCCAUCUGCUAAGCCCCUGAGCUGCAAACUGCCAAGGAACUCCAUACGUUGCCAGGAAUGACAGGAGGGUGCCGACCAUGGAUACACAGCUACGGACUGAUGGUAAACUUGAAACAGCUUGAAGUGAGUAAGGGAUGGUGCCUGAGGGCAGUGGCUGCACUAGUGUCAAUAUUCAAGAAGCCUAUAAAUCUACACUGGGCCAAAGGACACCAGUUUUAAUAUCUCAUACAGUGUUUACUGUAUUGGAGGCAAAAGGGGGACAUUAGUUCAUUGGCUCUCACCCCAAAGAUUCCUGAAAUACCAGGCCAUCCUGGUAGAGCAGGGUGAUGUAGAAAUAAUUGUGACUAAUAUUGUCAACCCAGUAUCUUUCCUUAGCGGAACUCCCGGAGAACCAGUAUUACAUGACUGCUUUGAAUCAACUGAAGCUGCACAUUCCAGCCGGUCAGUCGAACCUGAAGGACGAACCCUUAGAAGAUGCAGAAGACACCUGGUUUACCAGCAGCUGCAGUUUUAUGAGACAAGGAGACUGUAAGGCAGGACAUGCAGUAACUGCUACUGACCAGGUACUGGAAGGGAAUACGAGGUUUGGAAGAGACAUGAGCUGAGACAAAAGGUAGAGAGCGGAGCCUAUUUUGAGACCCAUUAAGAAUCUAGCAGGUAAAAGCCUGCUAGAUUAAAGAAAAGGGGGGAAUUGAAGAGUGAGCAAAGCCUCAAAAUGGUGGUAAGGUAACACUUUGCUAUAGAAAGGGAAAGGGGAACUUCACGAAGAAAAAGACCAGGUAACAUGUACAUUUAAAGUGUAGGAAAGUGGGAAUUGCAAGACACCU